UACGUAGGGGGCGAGCGUUGUCCGGAUUUAUUGGGCGUAAAGAGCGUGUAGGCGGCCAGGUAGGUCUGCUGUGAAAACUCGAGGCCCAACCUCGAGACGUCGGCGGAAACCAUCUGGCUAGAGUCCGGAAGAGGAGAGUGGAAUUCCUGGUGUAGCGGUGAAAUGCGCAGAUAUCGUAAGGAAGACCAGUGGCGAAGGCGGGUCUCUGGACAGUUCCUGACGCUGAGGCACGAAGGUCAGGGGAGCAAACGGG
Molecule: ribosomal RNA, 253 nt
Filed under: uncultured bacterium
Lineage: Bacteria
Description: partial 16S ribosomal RNA
Rfam family: Bacterial small subunit ribosomal RNA
Source: RNAcentral